This 867-nucleotide ribosomal RNA is filed under the name unidentified. RNAcentral describes it as "Cystinarius pseudoeutactus partial large subunit ribosomal RNA". It matches the Rfam family "Eukaryotic large subunit ribosomal RNA", at positions 81 to 928 of the family's 3401-position model. The record is from RNAcentral.
UAGUAACUGCGAGUGAAGCGGGAAGAGCUCAAAUUUAAAAUCUGGUAGUUUUUAACUAUCCGAGUUGUAAUCUAGAGAAGUGUUAUCGGCGCUGGACCGUGUAUAAGUCUCCUGGAAUGGAGCGUCAUAGAGGGUGAGAAUCCCGUCUUUGACACGGACUGCCAGGGCUUUGUGAUACACUCUCAAAGAGUCGAGUUGUUUGGGAAUGCAGCUCAAAAUGGGUGGUAAAUUCCAUCUAAAGCUAAAUAUUGGCGAGAGACCGAUAGCGAACAAGUACCGUGAGGGAAAGAUGAAAAGAACUUUGGAAAGAGAGUUAAACAGUACGUGAAAUUGCUGAAAGGGAAACGCUUGAAGUCAGUCGCGUUGUCCAGGAAUCAACCUUGCUAUUGCUUGGUGUACUUUCUGAUCAAUGGGUCAACAUCAAUUUUGAUUAUUGGAAAAAAUUUAGAGGGAAUGUGGCAUCUUUGGAUGUGUUAUAGCCCUUUAUUUGUUAUACAAUGGUUGGGAUUGAGGAACUCAGCACGCCGCAAGGCCAGGUUUUUAUUAACUAUGUACGUGCUUAGGAUGUUGGCAAAAUGGCUUUAAUCGACCCGUCUUGAAACACGGACCAAGGAGUCUAACAUAUCUGCAAGUGUUUGGGUGGAAAACCCGAGUGCGUAAUGAAAGUGAAAGUUGAGAUCCUUGUCAUAGGGAGCAUCGACGCCCAGACCAGAACUUUUGUGACGGUUCUGCGGUAGAGCAUGUAUGUUGGGACCCGAAAGAUGGUGAACUAUGCCUGAAUAGGGUGAAGCCAGAGGAAACUCUGGUGGAGGCUCGUAGCGAUUCUGACGUGCAAAUCGAUCGUCAAAUUUGGGUAUAGGGGCGAAA